RNAcentral lists this ribosomal RNA (767 nucleotides) under uncultured bacterium. Its description in RNAcentral is "bacterial SSU rRNA". It matches the Rfam family "Bacterial small subunit ribosomal RNA", at positions 28 to 776 of the family's 1533-position model. The record is from RNAcentral.
GACGAACGCUGGCGGCGUGCCUAAUACAUGCAAGUCGAGCGAAGUUUUUCUGGUGCUUGCACUAGAAAAACUUAGCGGCGAACGGGUGAGUAACACGUAAAGAACCUGCCUCAUAGACUGGGACAACUAUUGGAAACGAUAGCUAAUACCGGAUAACAGCGUUAACUGCAUGGUUGAUGUUUAAAAGUUGGUUAUGCUAACACUAUGAGAUGGCUUUGCGGUGCAUUAGCUAGUUGGUGGGGUAAAGGCCCACCAAGGCGACGAUGCAUAGCCGACCUGAGAGGGUGAUCGGCCACACUGGGACUGAGACACGGCCCAGACUCCUACGGGAGGCAGCAGUAGGGAAUCUUCCGCAAUGGGCGAAAGCCUGACGGAGCAACGCCGCGUGAGUGAAGAAGGAUUUCGGUUCGUAAAGCUCUGUUGUUAGGGAAGAAUGGAUAUGUAGUAACUAUACAUGUAAGAGACGGUACCUAACCAGAAAGCCACGGCUAACUACGUGCCAGCAGCCGCGGUAAUACGUAGGUGGCAAGCGUUGUCCGGAAUUAUUGGGCGUAAAGCGCGCGCAGGUGGUUUAAUAAGUCUGAUGUGAAAGCCCACGGCUCAACCGUGGAGGGUCAUUGGAAACUGUUAAACUUGAGCGCAGGAGAGAAAAGUGGAAUUCCUAGUGUAGCGGUGAAAUGCGUAGAGAUUAGGAGGAACACCAGUGGCGAAGCGGCUUUUUGGCCUGUAACUGACACUGAGGCGCGAAAGCGUGGGGAGCAAACAGG